CACCAAGAGUGAGCAUCUCACCGGCCUCAAAGAAAAGUUUAAGAGGAUGUGUGAGAAAUCCAUGAUCAGGAAACGUUACAUGCACCUGAAUGAAGAGAUCCUCACUGAGAACCCUAACGUCUGCGCCUACAUGGCUCCUUCCCUCGACGCCCGCCAGGAUAUGGUUGUCGUCGAGGUACCAAAGCUCGGCAAAGAAGCUGCCGCCAAGGCCAUCAAAGAGUGGGGGCAG
RNAcentral lists this unclassified non-coding RNA (229 nucleotides) under Hevea brasiliensis (rubber tree). Lineage: Eukaryota; Viridiplantae; Streptophyta; Magnoliopsida; Malpighiales; Euphorbiaceae. The record is from RNAcentral.